UAGAGGAAGUAAAAGUCGUAACAAGGUUUCCGUAGGUGAACCUGCG
Molecule: ribosomal RNA, 46 nt
Filed under: Boletus edulis
Lineage: Eukaryota; Fungi; Basidiomycota; Agaricomycetes; Boletales; Boletaceae
Also listed under: 1 other name
Description: partial 18S ribosomal RNA
Source: RNAcentral